GGGCCCGCACAAGCGGUGGAGUAUGUGGUUUAAUUCGAUGCAACGCGAAGAACCUUACCAGGGUUUGACAUCCUGCGAAUCUCUUGGAAACAGGAGAGUGCCUUCGGGAACGCAGUGACAGGUGGUGCAUGGCUGUCGUCAGCUCGUGUCGUGAGAUGUUCGGUUAAGUCCGGCAACGAGCGCAACCCACAUCCCUAGUUGCCAGCAGUUCGGCUGGGCACUCUAUGGAAACUGCCCGUGAUAAGCGGGAGGAAGGUGUGGAUGACGUCAAGUCCUCAUGGCCCUUACGGGUUGGGCUACACACGUGCUACAAUGGUAGUGACAAUGGGUUAAUCCCAAAAAGCUAUCUCAGUUCGGAUUGUCGUCUGCAACUCGACGGCAUGAAGUCGGAAUCGCUAGUAAUCGCGUAAC
This 411-nucleotide ribosomal RNA is filed under the name uncultured bacterium. RNAcentral's name for it is "bacterial SSU rRNA". It matches the Rfam family "Bacterial small subunit ribosomal RNA", at positions 917 to 1350 of the family's 1533-position model. The record is from RNAcentral.